GGUGGAGAGCAGCACAGCAUUAGACCAACAGAUGUCCUAAUAAUGUGCAGUCUGCUGACACUGCAUGCCUGUAAACAGCAGAGAUGAAGGAGCUAUGGAUUACGGCUGUCUUUGCUACAGUGUCUUUAUCACAGGGGAAUCUCACCACAUCCUCUGCCAUUCCAACCACCAUUGACAUAACUACCCCAACUACUACUGCUCCUAUAACCCCUGACCCUCCAACUACUACUGCCCCUAUAACCCUAAAUAUUAUUGGUCAACAAACUACUGGUUACCCUACCUCUAUCCCGAUCACCAGUACCAGUCUCCCCACCACCUCUACCACCACCUCCACCAUCCCCUCCAACACCACCUCUACCACCACAUCCCCUCCCCUGGUCUGUAUCAACGGUGGUGAGCAGCUGAGUGGAGUCUGUAUCUGUCCUGAUGAGUGGACCGGAGAGACCUGUUCAGAAGGGUAUUUCUGCAAUUCCACCAUGAAGGAUGGAUUCUCCUUCCCAAGAACAGUGGUUGGCUGGUCUGCUUAUUCUGAAAAUUAUAACAAUGGUUUACCAGAAGCCUUAGCAGAAUGUUCAGAUGACACUGGAUCUCCAGUGUUUGGUCGUAUUUACAAGCUAGAGCGGGAAUUAACCCUCAGUGACAUUCUAGGAAAUAUCUCCAGCAGUCCAGGUGAUUUACUAAAGUUAGCCUUCAGUACUCAGAUCCUGACCUCCCAACCAGAGCAGCUGUCAGCUGACAACAUCACCACAGCAGCUCAGAUAGCUAACACACUGCUUCAGUCUGCAAAUAUCACAG
This 795-nucleotide long non-coding RNA is filed under the name Salmo salar (Atlantic salmon). RNAcentral's name for it is "lncRNA (ENSSSAG00000107555.1)". The record is from RNAcentral. Lineage: Eukaryota; Metazoa; Chordata; Actinopteri; Salmoniformes; Salmonidae.